This 419-nucleotide ribosomal RNA is filed under the name unidentified bacterium VCT103. RNAcentral's name for it is "bacterial SSU rRNA". It matches the Rfam family "Bacterial small subunit ribosomal RNA", at positions 95 to 500 of the family's 1533-position model. The record is from RNAcentral.
CCGGCGGACGGGUGAGUAACACGUGGGUAACCUGCCUGUAAGACUGGGAUAACUCCGGGAAACCGGGGCUAAUACCGGAUAACAUCAAGAGCUGCAUGGCUUCUGAUUGAAAGGCGGCUUCGGCUGUCACUUACAGAUGGACCCGCGGCGCAUUAGCUAGUUGGUGAGGUAACGGCUCACCAAGGCGACGAUGCGUAGCCGACCUGAGAGGGUGAUCGGCCACACUGGGACUGAGACACGGCCCAGACUCCUACGGGAGGCAGCAGUAGGGAUUCUUCCGCAAUGGACGAAAGUCUGACGGAGCAACGCCGCGUGAGUGAAGAAGGUUUUCGGAUCGUAAAACUCUGUUGUCAGGGAAGAACAAGUACGGGAGUAACUGACCGUACCUUGACGGUACCUGGCCAGAAAGCCACGGCUAA